GGUGCUGCAUGGUUGUCGUCAGCUCGUGCCGUGAGGUGUCCGGGUUAAGUCCCAUAACGAGCGCAACCCCUAUCAUUAGUUGCCAUCAGGUCAAGCUGGGGACUCUAAUGAAACUGCCUACGCAAGUAGUGAGGAAGUGGGGAUGACGUCAAAUCAGCACGGCCCUUACGUCCAGGGCUACACACGUGCUACAAUGGCCGAUACAGAGGGCAGCUACCUGGUGACAGGAUGCAAAUCUCCAAAGUCGGUCUCAGUUCGGAUCGGAGUCUGCAACCCGACUCCGUGAAGUUGGAUUCGCUAGUAAUCGCGCAUCAGCCAUGGCGCGGUGAAUACGUUCCCGGGCCUU
RNAcentral lists this ribosomal RNA (346 nucleotides) under uncultured Sphingobacteriales bacterium. RNAcentral describes it as "bacterial SSU rRNA". It matches the Rfam family "Bacterial small subunit ribosomal RNA", at positions 1037 to 1382 of the family's 1533-position model. Lineage: Bacteria; Pseudomonadati; Bacteroidota; Sphingobacteriia; Sphingobacteriales. The record is from RNAcentral.